Cottoperca gobio is the source of this 3240-nucleotide long non-coding RNA. Ensembl lists it as uncharacterized. The record is from Ensembl. NCBI's taxonomy places the organism in Eukaryota, Metazoa, Chordata, Actinopteri, Perciformes, Bovichtidae.
UCGUAUCUAUCUCUAAAUGGCCAAUUCAAUAUGCCCCCCCCCCUGUGAGUAACAUACUUUAUUUUCUUUGUUUUAAGAGAAAAGAAACAGGGGUGGGAGUUCACCUUUGUUCCACUGACAUUUGGCUUCUUAAAAAGCAGCAGAGUGGGACCUCGCGCAGCUACUCCACUAAACUGGAGUGACAUAAUCACCACGCCUCCUUCCGUCACGCUCUCCCGGUCUGCUGCUGCUGCUUCUACUACUACAUUGAUUUACAGUUUGUAUAAAUGUAACUCUCUCUCACCAAUUAGGUGAAUGUGAGGAGGCGAGAAAUACACUUGUUCUGAACCCCAUUAGCAGGUGACCUCUGUUAGUGUUACUCAACCACAUUGUUGUGUAACACAUACAUUGUUGGUAUGCAUGUUAGCUAAUGUUUGCUAACCGCACUGUCGGGUAUAGGAGCUGUAUAGAUAGUUAGUUACCUAUUUAUUUAACAAGCUCGUUUCUGGGUUCAGUGUAUUGGCAAAUGUUUUCCCAAGUGCGAGCACGUUUGGGCUCAUGUUUGACCAGGUUUCCCAGUUGUGUAAACUCAAGAGUGGCACCUGCCCUCUGCAGACAUCAGCAUCGGACCUUCAGCUCGGAGUGUCAAGGUGUCAAGGUGCUGUAUGAUGGGCUUUGUCCCAUAUGUGUGACAGAGAUCCGGUUCCUUCAGUUUAUGCAGAGAAACCAGCCCGGGAAAGUAGACUUUAUUGAUAUCUCCCUACCAGACUAUGAUGCAGAGAAAAACAAGGAUGUCAGCUACGAGAUGGCCAUGGAGGAAAUGCAUGUGAUUGAUGGGAAAGACGAGGUUCACCGUGGGAUCCCAGCUUUUGCAGUCAUGUACAGUGCAGUGGGCCUUGGCUGGUUGGGUCGCCUCAUGAUGUGGUCACCUGUGAGGCCAUUCAUGGACAAGUCCUAUACUGUCUUUGCCAAGAAUCGCUUAAAGUGGACCGGACGUGGGGAAGAGUGCAUUAAAGGACGCUGUGAAAAGAAAACACACUGACUUUUGACUACAGAAAAAAAUAAAUAAUGUCUAUUAAGUUCAUUGGUAAAGAAAAACUCAGUGUAACUCAGUCUGUUUGUUCUAAUGUGAACACUGGUUAGAGGACUCAAAAAUAUUGAGCCUAACCAUAACAAACGGUGCAGAGAAAAUGCUUUACUUCCAGAGACGAAGAGUAAUGAUGAUACUUAAUACAAGACUGUCAUACUAUGACAAAUAUACAGAACGGAGAAAAUCACUGAAGCAAAAUGCAGUCAAUUUCCUGUCGCGCACAGCCUCUCAGAUUGAGGUUCUUUUUAAAAGCAGAUAGAGAACCAAACUGUCAGGAAGCUGCCACUAGAUGUCAUUGUAAGUCUAAAAUAAUAUCAGCCGUGAGUGAAAUUGUUCUUCAGGAAUCGUGUCGUAUGACAUUCAUGAUUAUUUGCCAGGUCAUGAUUGACUUGUUCAUUUAAAGUUGCCUUGUAACAGAUACAAGCAGAAAUGAUAGGUGAAAUAAAUAUUUAGUGUUUCUGACGGUAAAGGAAAAUUAAAAAAUAAAACUGACUAAAUUGACAUUUAUAUUUUAUGUUACACUUUUAAGUAAUUUCUGUUUGCAGGUGAAAGUAUUCAGACUUUUUAAUCUCAGGUGCCUCUUUAUAGUGAGCAUGUUUCAUCAACAAUACAGUGCAAUGCAGAGCAGUGUGCGCUCCUCAGAGGUUUAAUAAACUGGCUGUAGGACAGUAAUGUUGACUGAACAUAUUCUAUGAUAUAAGGAAGACUUAUUUUUUAUUAUCCUUUUAUUUUCCACAACUGAAAUGCAUUUCAGGUAAGGCUUUAUAGUCCAGCCUGCAAAUUACUGGAGACUUAUUUAUAUAUUGCACAGGAUAUAAAAAGAUAACAAUGGGGUAACUGUAUGGAAAUGGAAUUAUUUACACUAUAAUUUAUUUUAAAAUGAUACAUUUACGAGAAAACAAAAAAAAGAUAAUUUACCUAUUGGGCUCAAAGGUUAUUAAAAUCAUGAUUAGAUACUGGGCUGUAAAAUAAUCUGUAAAUACAAAACGGGUUCACUGUAAUCUGAAACAUUUUAUUAUAUAGCACUACAGACGUGCUAUUGUUUUGUAUCACAUGUUGUGGCAUGUGCACAGUCUUAAGAGGCAGGUGUGUGUUGUGAUCUAUGAAGCCGCUAACAUCAGCUGACUGAGACCCUUGAGUCUCCCCCCCCCCCCCCCUAAUUUUAGGCUUGUGCUUCCAAUCAUGCAGUCAACAAUCACAGCACAUGUCUUUAAGCCUGUGUGGUCUUACAAAGCAGUGGUCAUGCUUCUCCGCCCCCCCAGCCCAGCUCAACCAAUGAGAUUAAAGUAUUGCACGGAAGAAGGGUUGAACUAAGAAUCAAAACACAGAACACAUAGUAGUUCUGACAGUUUGUCUAAAGUGGUGUAGUGGAUUUUAAAAAUUGAGACUUGGUUGAAGAGGAAUUGUGAAGACGGAAGAACUAGGUGUUGCGUUUUCAGGUGAAUAUUCAGUGUAAGCUUUUUAUCUGACAUCUCCUGUCAAGGUUAGAGUAGCUAUAAGCUACUUUGGUUCAUGACCUUUCCCCACUUAAGUGGAAAACCACCAUAGUAGAUGUAUAUGACUAAUGCAUAGCCAAGCUGUUUACCUGUCUUCUUGUAAAGGCACCACAUAGAGUUAAUAAUUGCAACAGUAAUUCAGUGUAUUCGUAUUUGCUAAGAAUAUAUGAGCAACUAUGUGCAAAACAGUUUUCUUCUGUCACAUCGUAUACAGUAAAUCUAUUGGCAGCAAGAGGAGUUAUUUACAGGUCAUGUUCACUGAUGUAUUUGCUCAUAGGUUUCAUGUUACAUUCAUAAAGAGACACAGUUCUAGGAAAAGGUGGACGUGCAAGGUUGUUGUGGAACAUAAUGUUUGUACACAAUCAGCUCUCCCUGAAAGCGCACACACUCAGUUAUGAGUGACAUUUAAUCUUUUCCUCCGAACAGAGGAGAUAUAGUAACUUAACUGAUGCUUGGACACAUUUGAUUUUAACUGAAGUGUGCGCUUUUUGUUUCGCAAGGUCAUUCAUUUGUUGAAAUGUUGUGUUUAAUAUAAAUGAAUGAAUUUAAACUAACAUAAUUUGCAUGUGGUUUACUAUGGAGUAUGACUACUUCUAACUUUGGUGAUCCCCUAACUUUUACUCGAGCGCCCCCAGCAAGAUGACACUCUUUGUUGUUUAAUUAAAUGUCUACAAU